CCCAGCUUGCUGGGUGGAUCAGUGGCGAACGGGUGAGUAACACGUGAGCAACCUGCCCCGCACUCUGGGAUAAGCCCUGGAAACGGCGUCUAAUACUGGAUACGAGAUGCAACCGCAUGGUUAGUGUCUGGAAAGAUUUUUCGGUCUGGGAUGGGCUCGCGGCCUAUCAGCUUGUUGGUGAGGUAAUGGCUCACCAAGGCGUCGACGGGUAGCCGGCCUGAGAGGGUGACCGGCCACACUGGGACUGAGACACGGCCCAGACUCCUACGGGAGGCAGCAGUGGGGAAUAUUGCACAAUGGGCGGAAGCCUGAUGCAGCAACGCCGCGUGAGGGAUGACGGCCUUCGGGUUGUAAACCUCUUUUAGCAGGGAAGAAGCGAAAGUGACGGUACCUGCAGAAAAAGCGCCGGCUAACUACGUGCCAGCUGCCGCGGUAAUACGUAGGGCGCAAGCGUUAUCCGGAUUUAUUGGGCGUAAAGAGCUCGUAGGCGGUCUGUCGCGUCUGCUGUGAAAACCCGAGGCUCAACCUCGGGCCUGCAGUGGGUACGGGCAGACUAGAGUGCGGUAGGGGAGAUUGGAAUUCCUGGUGUAGCGGUGGAAUGCGCAGAUAUCAGGAGGAACACCGAUGGCGAAGGCAGAUCUCUGGGCCGUAACUGACGCUGAGGAGCGAAAGGGUGGGGAGCAAACAGGCUUAGAUACCCUGGUAGUCCACCCCGUAAACGUUGGGAACUAGUUGUGGGGUCCUUUCCACGGAUUCCGUGACGCAGCAAACGCAUUAAGUUCCCCGCCUGGGGAGUACGGCCGCAAGGCUAAAACUCAAAGGAAUUGACGGGGACCCGCACAAGCGGCGGAGCAUCCGGAUUAAUUCGAUGCAACGCGAAGAACCUUACCAAGGCUUGACAUACACGAGAACGCUGCAGAAAUGUAGAACUCUUUGGACACUCGUGAACAGGUGGUGCAUGGUUGUCGUCAGCUCGUGUCGUGAGAUGUUGGGUUAAGUCCCGCAACGAGCGCAACCCUCGUUCUAUGUUGCCAGCACGUAAUGGUGGGAACUCAUGGGAUACUGCCGGGGUCAACUCGGAGGAAGGUGGGGAUGACGUCAAAUCAUCAUGCCCCUUAUGUCUUGGGCUUCACGCAUGCUACAAUGGCCGGUACAAAGGGCUGCAAUACCGUGAGGUGGAGCGAAUCCCAAAAAGCCGGUCCCAGUUCGGAUUGAGGUCUGCAACUCGACCUCAUGAAGUCGGACUCGCUAGUAAUCGCAGAUCUGCAACGCUGCGGUGAAUACGUUCCCGGGUCUUGUACACACCGCCCGUCAAGUCAUGA
Molecule: ribosomal RNA, 1322 nt
Filed under: Microbacterium sp.
Lineage: Bacteria; Bacillati; Actinomycetota; Actinomycetes; Micrococcales; Microbacteriaceae
Description: bacterial SSU rRNA
Rfam family: Bacterial small subunit ribosomal RNA
Source: RNAcentral